GAUGAACGCUGGCGGCGUGCCUAAUACAUGCAAGUCGAGCGAACAGACGAGGAGUUUGCUCCUCUGACGUUAGCGGCGGACGGGUGAGUAACACGUGGAUAACCUACCUAUAAGACUGGGAUAACUUCGGGAAACCGGCGCUAAUACCGGAUAAUAUAUUGAACCGCAUGGUUCAAUAGUGAAAGACGGUUUUGCUGUCACUUAUAGAUGGAUCCGCGCCGCAUUAGCUAGUUGGUAAGGUAACGGCCUACCAAGGCAACGAUGCGUGGCCGACCGGAGAGGGUGAUCGGCUACACUGGAACUGGGACACGGACCAGACGCCUACGGGACGCAGCAGUAGGGAAUCUUCCGCAAUGGGCGAAAGCCUGACGGAGCAACGCCGCGUGAGUGAUGAAGGUCUUCGGAUCGUAAAACUCUGUUAUUAGGGAAGAACAAAUGUGUAAGUAACUAUGCACGUCUUGACGGUACCUGAUCAGAAAGCCACGGCUAACUACGUG
Molecule: ribosomal RNA, 497 nt
Filed under: uncultured bacterium
Lineage: Bacteria
Description: partial 16S ribosomal RNA
Rfam family: Bacterial small subunit ribosomal RNA
Source: RNAcentral